RNAcentral lists this ribosomal RNA (503 nucleotides) under uncultured bacterium. Its description in RNAcentral is "bacterial SSU rRNA". It matches the Rfam family "Bacterial small subunit ribosomal RNA", at positions 28 to 526 of the family's 1533-position model. The record is from RNAcentral.
GAUGAACGCUGGCGGCGUGCUUAACACAUGCAAGUCGAACGAAGCAAUCAGACGGAAGUUUUCGGAUGGAAGACUGAUUGACUGAGUGGCGGACGGGUGAGUAACGCGUGGGUAACCUGCCUCAUACAGGGGGAUAACAGUUAGAAAUGACUGCUAAUACCGCAUAACAUAUAUUUGUGGCAUCACAGAUAUAUCAAAGGAGAAAUCCGCUUGAAGAUGAGCUCGCGUCCCAUUAGCUAGUUGGCGGGGUAGAGGCCCACCAAGGCGACGAUGGGUAGCCGGACUGAGAGGUUGAACGGCCACAUUGGGACUGAGACACGGCCCAGACUCCUAUGGGAGGCAGCAGUGGGGAAUAUUGCGCAAUGGGGGAAACCCUGACGCAGCAACGCCGCGUGAUUGAAGAAGGCCUUCGGGUUGUAAAGAUCUUUAAUCAGGGACGAAGGAAGUGACGGUACCUGAAGAAUAAGCUCCGGCUAACUACGUGCCAGCCGCCGCAGUAAAAC